ACCCAGACCCUGACCCAGACCCAGACCCAGACCCAGACCCGGACCCUACCCCGGACCCCAGUCCAGACCCGGAGCCUGACCCCCGCCCAUUCCCCGACCCCGACCCGGAACCGUGAACCUGACCCGCACCGGGACUGGGACCCCCUCAGAAGUUGCUGUUACUUCUGAGGAGCUUUGAUGGCCAGCUUUGGCUAACUGAGGCAUUUUGCUCUUGCAAUGGGUUAGACCGUCUACGGAUAAGGUGCAGGAUGAGAUGUCCACGUUUGUUCUGAAGUCUUAAGACGGUGGUUUCCAGAACUUUCCACCCAGAGUCCCUUGCUUAAACUUCUGUUUGAAGUACCAUCCCGAGGCUCAGACUGUGCACUUUGUGCGUGACGGGAAUUGGGCGUUCUGUUUUUAAGACGACGGGCUGUUGAAGAGCAGCUCAGGUCUCCACUGUCGGGGCCGGGACCCCAGGCCUGGGCACUGUCACACGACACCUGCUGUCAGCGUCGCUGUCACGACGUGCUCGGGUCACCUGAUCUUAGCUCUUCCGUCCCGUUGAACACCUAACGUGACCCUGGGCACCCAGGGCAGGGGCAGCACGGUGGGCCUACAUGGCCCGUGACCCCCCAGCCUCUCCCUCGCACACAGCCAGCUCGGCAGCCUGUCUCUGCCGUGCCCGCUUGUGUUGGAGUGGGCAAGCCCGGCCGGGACGGAGGCUGGCGUGCGUACGUAGCAGAACCACCAUCCAGUUACAACGCAGAGGUUCUGCGGAUGAUGACCGCAGGCUGCGUGCCAGCCCCGGCGCAGUGCUGUAGGGCAUCGGCCCUUUGCUUCUGGUCUGUGCUCCUCCAGCUGCCCGCGUGACCCUGGGCUCUCACUUCUUGCUCAUGGCCCCUGGCCGGGACCCUGCAUCAACGCCCCCCUCCCCUGGGAGCUCUCAGAGGGAUGGUGGGUGGCGGCACUGGGUGAGGGCUGGUUCCUGGGACAUGACCCACUCUCGUGGCGUCACUGCGACGUUGAGAAAUAGCACAGUGAUCCCCAAGGGGGUCUUGACUCGGUUACUUCCACCGACAAUUUAAUGGAGGAGGAAGGAGCGGAUGUUUAUGGAGUGUCCGUGGACACCCAGGACACCAAAUCCACCUCUUGGGACAGGGCAAGCGUGACCCCAACAGUCACUGUGGGACCCCAGGAAGGAGGCCGAGAGUCUGCUUAGACGAGCCGCUGUGCCCCGAGGCCUGGCCUGGCCUGCCCUGCGGCUGCCGCGCGGGCUCGGGGCCACCUUGGGACAGGCCCUGCUCUUGCAGGUUCCCGUUGCCUGCUGGCCAGCUGGGUGUGACGUGUGGCCCCCAGGAAGAGGCUUAAUGGGGGGUGAGGGAGGCACCGUUGACACUGAAAUCUGUUGUUUCUUUGAACCAGUGUUCGUGGGGCACCUGCUGUGUGCCGUGGGUCAGGCUGGUGGCAGGACACACAGGAGUGUGGGUGCCUGGCCUCCACGCUUCCCCUCCAGGAAGCCCCAGACAGAGGCCCUCAGUAUGUCACGGGGACAGGUGACGCCGCAGCGGGACGGCUUCUCUGGGUAGAGCACCUCAGCAUCGCUGGUCUCGCGCAUCUGCAGGGCCCCGGGGACCUGCCCGAGAAGCGUGGGUCACCGCAUGGGGAGACCCACAGAUACGGUGGCAGAACUGUCUGUGUCGCGAUCAGCCCGGGGCGUCUCGGGGUCGGGGCGGGUGGUGGGAAGGAGCCAGGUUUGACGUAGCGCAUUGCAGGCAGAGAGACCCUGGGAGGGAAGGUCUGGGUAAGGGCUUGGGGAAUUCCAGUCCAGGAGAGGGCAGAGAGAGGACAGGAGGCAGGGUGAGGGCGGCCCACCACGGCCGGGGUUAGAGGGGCCGAGGGACAGUGGGGCCUUCAUGUUGUCUCAUCGUAUUGUACGGAUCCCAGGCCCCGUGCGGAGAGGCGAAGGGAAGAUGGAGGCUGCCAGGGUGAGCAGGCCGCCUCAGGGGCCCCAGCAAGGAACCCUAGGGUGGACAGAGGAACGAGGAAAGCGUCCGAGUGACAGGAGGGCGUGGCCUUCCAGCAGCAGGUGCAUGGCCAGUGGGGAGAGAAGGGAAGGAAAAGGCAGUUCAUGGCAUCAGAGCGGACAGGGCAGCUAGGCCCCCCGUUCAGGACGAGCGUAGGAGGCCAUGGGUGCCGUCGCGGUCCAGGACCGCGUGCUUAGAUGAGGUGAGUGGGUGUGGGAUCUGGGGAGUGUUAGUCAGCGUUCUCCAGAGAGAUGGAACCAACAGGAUAUACAUGCAGGGGAGACUGGGGGAGGGGAGGUUUGCAGCAUUUGGCUCACGCAGUUGUGGGGCUGGCACGUCUGAAAUCUGUAGGACAGACCUGCAGGCUGGAGACCCAGGCAGAGUUGAUGCUGCCGCUCGCGGCCCACGGCCAUUGGCAAGAGAACCCUCCUCGGGGCAUCAGACUUCUGACGCCUUCAACUGAUUGGAUGUGGCCCACAAACGUGAUGGGGGCGUCUCAGAGUCCACUGACAUGGAGGUUAAUCUCACCUACAAACACCUUCACGUGGCAUUCAGAUGAUGUUUGACCACACCCCUGGGCACUGUGGCCCGGCCCAGUGGACACACAAACUGACAGGGCCCGGGGCUCUGCAGGGCAGGGCUGUACCUGGUUCUCACCGCUGGGCACAGCCCUGUCGGCCCCCUUCAGGUCCCUGGGGAGGCCAGCCAACAUCUGUGGCUAUGAGCCCCACUAAAUAAAGGUUCCCACCGUGCUCUGCUCACCCUCCGAAAACAGGA
Ailuropoda melanoleuca (giant panda) is the source of this 2780-nucleotide RNA transcript. It is a transcript of the gene named FERM domain-containing protein 1-like, with no coding region annotated. The record is from RefSeq and is a predicted model, not a curated record. The transcript has 3 exons. NCBI's taxonomy places the organism in Eukaryota, Metazoa, Chordata, Mammalia, Carnivora, Ursidae.